UACGUAGGGGGCAAGCGUUGUCCGGAUUUAUUGGGCGUAAAGAGCUCGUAGGCGGUUUGGUAAGUCUGGUGUGAAAUCUCCACGCUCAACGUGGAGGGGCCACCCGAUACUGCCAUGACUGGAGUCCGGUAGAGGAGUGUGGAAUUCCCGGUGUAGCGGUGAAAUGCGCAGAUAAUCGGGAGGAACACCCGUGCGAAGGCGGCACU
This 206-nucleotide ribosomal RNA is filed under the name uncultured bacterium. RNAcentral describes it as "partial 16S ribosomal RNA". It matches the Rfam family "Bacterial small subunit ribosomal RNA", at positions 524 to 728 of the family's 1533-position model. The record is from RNAcentral.